RNAcentral lists this ribosomal RNA (269 nucleotides) under uncultured archaeon. RNAcentral describes it as "partial 16S ribosomal RNA". It matches the Rfam family "Archaeal small subunit ribosomal RNA", at positions 719 to 982 of the family's 1478-position model. The record is from RNAcentral.
AGUCACUGACAUUAGAUACCCGGGUAGUCCAGGGUGUAAACGCUGCAGACUUGGGUGUUUGGGAGGCCCUUUGGGGGCAUUCAGUGCCGGAGAGAAGUUGUUAAGUCUGCUACUUGGGGAGUACGUCCGCAAGGAUGGAAACUUAAAGGAAUUGGCGGGGGAGCACCGCAACGGGAGGAGCGUGCGGUUUAAUUGGAUUCAACACCGUAAAACUCACCAGGGAAGACUGUUGCAUGAAGGCCGAGCUAAAGACUCUGCUAGAUUUUCAG